This 374-nucleotide ribosomal RNA is filed under the name uncultured Scutellospora. Its description in RNAcentral is "partial 28S ribosomal RNA". Lineage: Eukaryota; Fungi; Glomeromycota; Glomeromycetes; Diversisporales; Gigasporaceae. The record is from RNAcentral.
GAGAGUUAAAUAGUACGUGAAAUUGUUGAAAGGGAAACGAUUGAAGUCAGUCAUGCCGGUGAGAAUCAACUUUGAGGAAGGGGGAUUUUUUUGAACCUAACCUUGAAGUGCACUUCUUCGCUUGGCAGGUUAGCGUCGAUUUUGAACGUCAUAAAAUGAUUGGGGGAAGGUAGCUCUUUCGGGAGUGUUAUAGCCCUUAAUUAAUGUGAUAUUUGGGAUCGAGGAUUGCAACGGAUACCUUUUUUAGGCUAGCCGCCUGGCCUCUGAUUCGAUGUCGGGUUAUAGACAGCAUGCUGACUAUGAUCUGAUUAUUGGUCAAAAGGUUAGAGCGAGCAUAAAUUCGUUAAGGACGCUGACGUAAUGGCUUUAAACGA